AACUCUGGUGGCCUAGUGGUUUGAGUGUCCACCUCGGAUGAGGGAAGUCGUGGGUUUAAUCCCUAUCUGAGUAA
This is a non-coding RNA of Potamilus streckersoni, 74 nucleotides long. The record is from the annotation of a GenBank genome assembly. NCBI's taxonomy places the organism in Eukaryota, Metazoa, Mollusca, Bivalvia, Unionida, Unionidae.